Molecule: ribosomal RNA, 301 nt
Filed under: uncultured bacterium
Lineage: Bacteria
Description: partial 16S ribosomal RNA
Rfam family: Bacterial small subunit ribosomal RNA
Source: RNAcentral
CAGCCGCCGCGGUAAUACGAAGGGUGCAAGCGUUAAUCGGAAUUACUGGGCGUAAAGCGUGCGUAGGCGGUGAGUUAAGUCUGCUGUGAAAUCCCCGGGCUCAACCUGGGAAUGGCAGUGGAUACUGGCUCGCUAGAGUGUGUCAGGGGAUGGUGGAAUUCCCGGUGUAGCGGUGAAAUGCGUAGAGAUCGGGAGGAACAUCAGUGGCGAAGGCGGCCAUCUGGGACAACACUGACGCUGAGGCACGAAAGCGUGGGGAGCAAACAGGAUUAGAUACCCCCGUAGUCCCUGUCUCUUAUAC